UACGGGGGGGGCAAGCGUUGUUCGGAAUUACUGGGCGUAAAGGGCUCGUAGGCGGCUCGGUAAGUCAGGUGUGAAACCUCCAGGCUCAACCUGGAGACGCCACCUGAUACUGCUGUGGCUAGAGUCCGGUAGGGGAGCGUGGAAUUCCUGGUGUAGCGGUGAAAUGCGCAGAUAUCAGGAGGAACACCAGCGGCGAAGGCGGCGCUCUGGGCCGGAACUGACGCUGAGGAGCGAAAGCGUGGGUAGCAAACAGG
Molecule: ribosomal RNA, 254 nt
Filed under: uncultured bacterium
Lineage: Bacteria
Description: partial 16S ribosomal RNA
Rfam family: Bacterial small subunit ribosomal RNA
Source: RNAcentral